CGAGUUAUGUCAUUUAUCAUCCAAAAUGAAAUCUAUCCGGUCGAUGAAUGCAAACAACUCUACUUCAUCAUCCCAAGGAAAACCAAAAGAUUGUUCUUCCAUGAUACCCGUUCGAAAGCUCUGAUUAUCUUAGUAAGUCCUCUCAUUCCCGCUUCUUCGCCAAUUAAAACAAUAUUCCUUUUAGUAUUUUAAAACAAUCACUAUCCUACCAUUAUGCAUAAGUUUAUAGUAUUAGCGUUCUUAUACCAUAUAACGUUAUCUAAUGGUUGAUUCUCCCAUAAAGUAAUACUUUCGCUGCCUUUCUAUCUUCUUGUUCGUGUGCGCGCCAUAGUACCACAUAGCAUUAAAGUAAUAACAUAAUUUGAUACACAGAUCAUAUGAAUUAUAAUAUAUCCAUCUAUACUUUGAUCGUUUGCCAUUGUCUUAAUUUGCAUCUUCAAAUGCUACAAGGCAUGUGUUAUCCACCCCUAACAAGGGGAAAAGACAAUAGAAAGCAAAAUAAACAUAUUUUUGUUCGAUAAGUUACGUAUUUGAAAUGCCUGCCAACACUUUCCAGCAAAUAGUUUCAUAGCUCGAGGGAUUGAAAUAUGACAGAUGUUCUCUGAAAGCUUUCCUCUUUUGUAAAGACGACGUUGAAUCAUUUUUAUCCCCGUAACCCUCCCUCCUAAAGGCCUACUCAUUAGGUGAAGAGCUCAUGAAUUACACGAGAGAGAUUGCCCAAAAUUAAGAAUAAGCGGUUAAAUUUCAUGAUGUCAAAUGAGAAUUGCCCAUAGGCCAACCACUCUUUACCUGUACCAAGAGAACGAUAGGCACCUCAACAUACUACUACUUGCAAGGUAAAACAGCAAAAUUGAAUUUUUCACCAUCUGUGAACUAGAAAUCCAAUAUAGUUGUAUCAUAAAUAAUUUUGUCCUACAAAAGAUUGAAGAUAGCUAGCCUCUUUCCCAUGAACACUUUCCUCACAUUUAUAGGUUAACAAAAUCAAUCUAUCUAAAUCAGGCAGAUUUCAACUUGGCAGAUGUGGACGCCAGAUGUGAAACGGUUCUGUGUCCUACGAAUAGUAAGAAGAUCCCCAAGAAUCCAAGCGCUCUUAGUGUUUGGAACAGAUUCCACUGCAAG
This 1119-nucleotide long non-coding RNA is filed under the name Nicotiana tabacum (common tobacco). Its description in RNAcentral is "long non-coding RNA (NTAB_LNC010308)". The record is from RNAcentral. Lineage: Eukaryota; Viridiplantae; Streptophyta; Magnoliopsida; Solanales; Solanaceae.